Molecule: ribosomal RNA, 429 nt
Filed under: Acidobacteriota bacterium
Lineage: Bacteria; Pseudomonadati; Acidobacteriota
Description: Acidobacteria bacterium partial 16S ribosomal RNA
Rfam family: Bacterial small subunit ribosomal RNA
Source: RNAcentral
UGGGGAAUUUUGGACAAUGGGGGAAACCCUGAUCCAGCCAUCCCGCGUGUGCGAUGAAGGCCUUCGGGUUGUAAAGCACUUUUGGCAGGAAAGAAACGUCAUGGGUUAAUACCCCGUGAAACUGACGGUACCUGCAGAAUAAGCACCGGCUAACUACGUGCCAGCAGCCGCGGUAAUACGUAGGGUGCAAGCGUUAAUCGGAAUUACUGGGCGUAAAGCGUGCGCAGGCGGUUCGGAAAGAAAGAUGUGAAAUCCCAGAGCCCAACUUAGGAACUGCAUUUUUAACUACCGGGCUAGAGUGUGUCAGAGGGAGGUGGAAUUCCGCGUGUAGCAGUGAAAUGCGUAGAUAUGCGGAGGAACACCGAUGGCGAAGGCGUCCUCCUGGGAUAACACUGACGCUCAUGCACGAAAGCGUGGGGAGCAAACAGG